AGCAGCGUGGCUCAGUGGAAAGAGCACGGAUUUGGGAAUCAGAGAUCAUGGGUUUGAAUCCCGGCUCUGCCA
This 72-nucleotide transfer RNA is filed under the name Ornithorhynchus anatinus (platypus). It matches the Rfam family "tRNA". From Rfam's summary of the family: Transfer RNA (tRNA) molecules are approximately 80 nucleotides in length. Their secondary structure includes four short double-helical elements and three loops (D, anti-codon, and T loops). Further hydrogen bonds mediate the characteristic L-shaped molecular structure. tRNAs have two regions of fundamental functional importance: the anti-codon, which is responsible for specific mRNA codon recognition, and the 3' end, to which the tRNAs corresponding amino acid is attached (by aminoacyl-tRNA synthetases). tRNAs cope with the degeneracy of the genetic code in two manners: having more than one tRNA (with a specific anti-codon) for a particular amino acid; and 'wobble' base-pairing, i.e. permitting non-standard base-pairing at the 3rd anti-codon position. Lineage: Eukaryota; Metazoa; Chordata; Mammalia; Monotremata; Ornithorhynchidae. The record is from Rfam by way of RNAcentral.